Molecule: long non-coding RNA, 86 nt
Organism: Haliotis rubra (blacklip abalone)
Lineage: Eukaryota; Metazoa; Mollusca; Gastropoda; Lepetellida; Haliotidae
Exons: 3
Source: RefSeq, a predicted model, not a curated record
GGCCCCGUUUCACAAAGCUCUCGUAAGCCUAAGAUCUCGUAACUUUUCUCGGAGCAUUCGUACCUCCUGUGUAAAAGUGUUACAGU